Molecule: long non-coding RNA, 565 nt
Organism: Thalassophryne amazonica
Lineage: Eukaryota; Metazoa; Chordata; Actinopteri; Batrachoidiformes; Batrachoididae
Exons: 2
Source: RefSeq, a predicted model, not a curated record
CACUGGCCAUUAUUGUCGUCCUCAUCUGAUAUGCUGACAAUUUGUUAUAUGGUGGUUACGGUGAAAUGCUUCUCUGAAGAUGAGAUUUCCACCUUGUACCAAACACAAUAGAAUUGCAGGCUGACUAUACAUAUGUACGUUAUUUGCAAUAAGAUGGAUUGAUCCGCAGUCCGAGCAAAAAGGCUACAGCUGCUGUCCUCAAAAGAGAUAUGAUUUGGAUUAUCAGAAAUGACAGGCUAUAUGAGAAAACAGUCAUAUCCGCGAAAAUUAUACGUCGGUGUUGCAGGAAAAAAAAAAAAAGUUUAUUGCAGGCAGACUGUCGGCGGCGCAGCUCCUUGAUGUUGUUUGGUUGAGCGUGUGAGGAUUUUAUGCAACAAUCACAGACCUCCCACAACACUGCAACAGAAUUAAAGUCAGUAAUUUAUCUCUUUCACAUUUCUUUUGUUGGUAAGUCCUUUAUCAGUAUUGCCAGAGCAUACCGAGGUUCUCACCAGUGGUUAAAAAAAAGACUGCGUGACAUCAACAAAAUGCAAAAUUUAGCACGUAGGCGAUAAAACAGGAGAAA